AUGCACGCUGGCGGCGUGCCUCAUCCAUGCAAGUCGAGCGAACGGACGAGAAGCUUGCUUCUCUGAUGUUAGCGGCGGACGGGUGAGUAACACGUGGAUAACCUACCUAUAAGACUGGGAUAACUUCGGGAAACCGGAGCUAAUACCGGAUAAUAUUUUGAACCGCAUGGUUCAAAAGUGAAAGACGGUCUUGCUGUCACUUAUAGAUGGAUCCGCGCUGCAUUAGCUAGUUGGUAAGGUAACGGCUUACCAAGGCAACGAUGCAUAGCCGACCUGAGAGGGUGAUCGGCCACACUGGAACUGAGACACGGUCCAGACUCCUACGGGAGGCAGCAGUAGGGAAUCUUCCGCAAUGGGCGAAAGCCUGACGGAGCAACGCCGCGUGAGUGAUGAAGGUCUUCGGAUCGUAAAACUCUGUUAUUAGGGAAGAACAUAUGUGUAAGUAACUGUGCACAUCUUGACGGUACCUAAUCAGAAAGCCACGGCUAACUACGUG
RNAcentral lists this ribosomal RNA (496 nucleotides) under uncultured bacterium. Its description in RNAcentral is "partial 16S ribosomal RNA". It matches the Rfam family "Bacterial small subunit ribosomal RNA", at positions 29 to 507 of the family's 1533-position model. The record is from RNAcentral.